UCAACUAGAAAGGUUAGCGGAUGCAUCCGUAAUGAUGACCUUUGGUAGCGUUCCACUGUAUCCUGUCAAAUUCUUCACCGCGAAAAACCAACGAACAACUCACGAGCCACCGACUCUCCAAAGAAUCUAGGAACCAGAUCGGAUCUUAAGCUCUCGAGCUCCAUUUCAACAUUGUUCAACUGUUAACAAGAUUUCGCACGCUUCAAGAACGAGAUAUCUAUACAACGUUCUUUUCGAUGUCAGGAUCGGGUUGGGUAAGCUAACGAGAACAUUGAAGGUUUUUGGAGCUGUUUUCUUUUUCUUCUUACUACGGAUUUGGCUCUAUUUCUGAAGUUGAACCGUUUUGGCUUCUGAUUUGUUGAAUUGGGGGUGCAGGAUUCUGUCUUUUUGAGGAUUUUGGUCAUGGUGCAUUGCUAAUAUUUCCUAUCUUCUGGUAAAGCAAAGAAACAACAAAAUUUGGGAGAUUUCAGUUUUAUUUUGACACAGUUGGUUGAACUUCUGUGUGACUUGAGGGGACUGCCGUGGUUGCUGGCCUUUGGAUAGGCCAGGGGGGGUUGAGUAAAGAUGGUUCUAACUUAGAAAAAGGAAGGAGAUGGUGGAAACCACCUUAUUAACAGAAAAGAGUGAAAACACUGGAGUUAGUGACAUUCAAAGUGGAAGCCAUGGACCGGUCCUCCGCAGAGAGCCUUCUUUCUCACGCUGGUGCGACGAAGAUGGGAUUGUCCUUGCAGAUUAUCAAUCAAAAAAUGCUGAUGUAAGCUUAGAAGAAUCUGAUUUUGAGUUGCCAUUGCUUCAAGAAGAUGGGUUACAAAAUGGAUCUUUAGAUGUUGAUACACAAAAGUUUAGUAGCUUUCAGCAGAGAAGAAUGCACUUGGAUGGGGGUAAUGUCAUGGGUACUGUACCCAUUCAUGUUGAGGGAGAUGAACAUGGAGCAAAAUACGUAUCUUUUGAUAUUGAGAAUAGGUCUGAAAGCCAAGCACACCUGUUGGAUAUUAAUGUUGAUAGAUCCUCUUCAGAAGGACGACGUGAAACUGAACUGAAUACUCAGAGCUCUUUUUCUGUGGCUAUUGUUCUUAAGACACUGUUUUUCAUAUUGGUUUGGUAUACUUUCAGCACAUGCUUGACAUUGUAUAACAAAACACUAUUAGGAGAUCAUUUAGGAAAGUUCCCUGCUCCCUUGUUAAUGAACACGAUUCACUUCGCGAUGCAAGCUGUCUUCUCAAGGGCCAUUACAUGUUUUUGGGCUCAAAGGUUUCAACCCAGUGUAAAAAUGUCAUGGAGGGAUUACUUUACCAGAGUUGUACCUACGGCUCUUGGAACUGCAUUGGAUGUAAACUUGAGCAAUGCUUCCCUUGUUUUCAUCUCUGUCACAUUUGCUACUAUGUGUAAAUCUGCGUCUCCAAUAUUUCUCCUUUUAUUUGCUUUUGCAUUCAGGUUGGAGACCCCGAGCAUUAAACUUCUAGGUAUCAUAUUAAUCAUCUCUGUUGGAAUUUUAUUAACAGUUGCAAAAGAGACAGAAUUUGAGAUUUGGGGUUUUAUUUUCGUUAUGCUGGCUGCUGUUAUGUCUGGGUUUCGCUGGUCCAUGACACAGAUUCUUUUGCAGAAAGAAGACUAUGGUUUAAAGGAUCCCAUUACUUUGAUGAGCUAUCUGACUCCAGUAAUGGCUGUGGUAACUGCUUUGCUCUCUCUAAUAAUGGACCCAUGGCAAGAAUUCAGAAGGAACAAUUACUUUAAUAGUUCGUGGCAUGUUCUACAGAGUAGCUUGCUAAUGCUUCUUGGUGGAACCCUGGCUUUUUUCAUGGUUUUAACAGAAUAUGUUCUUGUGUCAGCAACAAGUGCAGUAACUGUAACAAUAGCAGGAGUUGUCAAGGAAGCUGUUACUAUUCUGGUGGCAGUGUUUUACUUCCAUGAUCAAUUUACCUGGUUGAAAGGGAUUGGACUGCUUAUAAUCAUGGUUGGUGUCAGUUUAUUCAACUGGUACAAAUACAAAAAGCUACACAAGAGCCACACCAGUGAAAAUGAUGAAGCAAAGUUGCUCACUCCCAACGCAGCUGCAAAGUAUGUUAUCCUUGAGGAGAUGGAUGAACAAGAUAAUGAAACUGAGUAACUAUUUUCAUUAUCUUGAUCAAAUUCUGAAAUUUAGUUUCAGAUUGUGCAAAGGAAAUGGGAAUGGAGCCAUUUAGACAAAAAAGACCCAUCAAGAUGUUUGCAAAUCUGCCUGUUCUUUACCAUCACUGUGUUACAAGGAUUGUUAAUGGGGUAACGUGGCAAAAUGUCCUGUGGGCCGAUACCAUUUCAGUUCGACUUGGAAGUUCUUCACCCCAGAUAAGUAUAAGUAUGCUGGGAAGAAGUGCAGGGUCACUUAUAGAAUAUGGAUGCUAUGUUGUUACUAGGCCAACCUCCAAAUUGCAACUUCUGUAUAAGUUUUAAUCUUUAUCUGUGUCUCAAUGAAUGUCAAACUUGAAAGGUUAAACUAGUAAGAGGCAAGCAUAUUGGUCCACUUUGUCCAGACUUUCUUCCAGCAAAAAGCCCAUCUUGUAAGGAAAUCAAUUACAUGUGAAUUAGAUAUUUUCUUAUGAUUUACCAUAUUGGUUCGUUCAUUUUCUUCAUUUUUGUUAUUGCUAAGACAUUUGAGGAUGUUAUAUUCCAACCGUGAGACAUUCAGUAGAAAUCAAUUUGUCCAGCUAA
Molecule: RNA transcript, 2688 nt
Organism: Nelumbo nucifera (sacred lotus)
Lineage: Eukaryota; Viridiplantae; Streptophyta; Magnoliopsida; Proteales; Nelumbonaceae
Gene name: putative sugar phosphate/phosphate translocator At1g06470
Source: RefSeq, a predicted model, not a curated record